GGUGUAGGUGGCUCUAUAAGUCAGGAGUGAAAGCCCCAGGCUUAACUUGGGAAGUGCUUUUGAUACUGUAGAGCUUGAAUGUGGGAGAGGAUCGUAGAAUUCCAGGUGUAGUGGUGAAAUACGUAGAUAUCUGGAGGAAUACCGGUGGCGAAGGCGGCGAUCUGGCCCAACAUUGACACUGAGACCCGAAAGUGCGGGGAUCAAACA
Molecule: ribosomal RNA, 207 nt
Filed under: uncultured bacterium
Lineage: Bacteria
Description: partial 16S ribosomal RNA
Rfam family: Bacterial small subunit ribosomal RNA
Source: RNAcentral